AAUCCCGAUUUUCACUAUUCUACUCCCUAGACGCUGUGCGAAGCAUAUGGAACUGCAGCGAAGAAGAACCACCACCGUCACUAUCACAAAGCUAUGGUUGGUUCGAGGCGACGUGGAAAAAAGAUGAAGAAGAUCGAGGAAUCAGUUGGAAAACAGAGUGAAGAAAUAAUGGGUCGCUCAACAACCUCGCCAGCCAACACAAACAUGCAAUGAAGAAGAUGACACCAGAAAACUGAAAAUUUAGAUAAUGGACACUACUUUUUUUUGGCAUUCUACAUGUGAAUUUAUUUUGGUAGUGCAGUAGACAAUUUUCUGAAGGAUUACAACACAUUUCACUUAGAUGUGAUUUUUGUGGAAACAAUAUAUUUAUUUUUGUGUGUGUUAACAUUGUGUUGGACUCCGGAGUUGGAAUUUGAUGCUUAACUUAUUUGAUGAUAA
Long non-coding RNA from Ipomoea triloba (trilobed morning glory), 438 nucleotides. RefSeq lists it as uncharacterized. The record is from RefSeq and is a predicted model, not a curated record. The transcript is spliced from 2 exons. Lineage: Eukaryota; Viridiplantae; Streptophyta; Magnoliopsida; Solanales; Convolvulaceae.